This 1999-nucleotide small RNA is filed under the name Pan troglodytes (chimpanzee). RNAcentral describes it as "processed transcript". The record is from RNAcentral. Lineage: Eukaryota; Metazoa; Chordata; Mammalia; Primates; Hominidae.
AGCGGAGCGUUGUGGGCCAGUGCCUUCGGUGAAGUCGCUCGCCGGGUCGUUGGGCCCUGUCGACCUGUAGGCGGGCGAGCGAGCCAGCGGACAAGACUGCGGGUACAAAACUCAAAACAUGAACAACAAUAUAUAUUACCAAUCUUCAAACCUGAUUUGGCUAGAACUGGAAUACAGUUGCCUGCGACAUAUUUUAGAAGAACUAGAAAAGUCAAAGUAAUGGAUAACAGAAAAGAGCCUCCAUUCUUCAAUGAUGAUAACAUGGGACCAUUUUACUGCAGACUUCAUUUCUGUGAUACCAUGGAGCUCUUCAUUGAAACAUUAACUGGAACAUGUUUUGAGCUGAGAGUUUCACCUUUUGAAACUGUUAUUUCUGUGAAAGCAAAAAUUCGAAGAUUGGAAGGUAUUCCCAUCUGUCGACAACACUUAAUUUGGAAUAACAUGGAACUUGAAAAUGAUUAUUGCUUGAAUGAUUACAACAUUUCAGAAGGGUGUACCUUGAAGCUAGUUUUGGCUAUGCGUGGCGGACCUAUAAAUACUAGAAGAGAUCUUCAAAUCCCAAGAUUAUGAUCGUUUUGCAAAAUUCCAACAUUGCCUGUUUACCUGGUUUGUGAUGUGUCUGGGUUUCAUGGAUAUUAUCAUGGCCCCGGUUGCAUCCUUUCUCAGAAUAUAAGUAGUUCUGAAAUCCAGUCAUUCAUUCAACAAAUACGUAUUGAGCGUCUACUGAAUGGUCAGUGCAAUGUUCCAAGUAUGGUAGACAUGGGAGAGAAAGUCUCUGCUUCAUGACAGUGCCUACAAUAAAUGUGUAAAGAGUCGAUGUAACUCCUAAUGGUCGUAAGUGCUAUGCAGAAAAUAGGGUAGGAAGGGCCCUCGAAAAAGAUGACAUUAGUGGAGACUUGAUUGAUGAGAGGGUUUUAUUAAGCACAAGAAGAGACGGCAGUAUUCACAUUGGUCCCUGAGUCAGGUAUGUCACAUGAAUUCCCAUGAAGUGGAGGAGACUAGUCAGAGCGUCCUCUUCUGUGGACAUCAUUUUGAGGAAGUCCUUCAGAUUUAUUUGAUCCUUCACUAACCAGAAAACCGAAGGAUAAGUAUUGAUUCUACUCCUGGCUUGCUUCCACAUGUCAAAUUAUAUCCCUAUGUUUAAUAAUUUUGGUUAGAAAAUAGGAUUAUUGCCAUCUUUUUCUUAGCUACUUCAAGAGGAUUUAAUGAGAUAUGCUACUUUGGCUGUUGAACUGCUUUUUAUAGGUUAGAGAAAAACAAAGUUAAUAAUGUUAGGGCCUUUUAGCACUCCUGAUAUCAGAGACUUUUAAUUAAUUGGAUUUAGGUAAUUGUCCUAUGUGACAUUUAUAGUAAUAACUAUAAAUGUUUAUAGUAAUAACUAUGUGAUGUUUAUAGUAAUAACUCUUGAAGUAGCACAAGAACCCUAUGUUUACUGAGCCAUUAUGUUAAGAUAGAAUUAUAUAGUGUUUAAUGCCAUGUGAACUCUAUUGUAUUACAUUUUUGAAAGUUGGUUAUUUGUGCGUAGUACUACUUUAAACUAGAGUGUUUAAUCAAAACACCUACUUUUCUUAUUAGAACUAAAAUUAUUUUAUAUGUUUAUGAGGAGUGUGAUACAGAUUCUGAGGUAAAUAUAUAUAUUUUUUACUUUUCUUUUUUUUUUUUGAGACGGAGUCUUGCUCUGUCGCCGAGGCUGGAGUGCAGUGGCAUGAUCUCUGCUCACUUCAACCUCUGCCACCUGGGUUCAAGUGAUUCUCCUGCCUCAGCCUCCCGAGUAGCUGGGAUUACAGGCAGUGGUAUUGAGGUCAGGAGUUUGAGACCAGCUUGGCCAACAUGGUGAAACCCCAUCUCUACUAAAAAUACAAAAAUUAGCUGGGCAUGGUGGCGGGCUACUCAGGAGGCUGAGACACGAGAAUUGCUUGAACGUGGGAGACAGAGGUUACAGUGAGUGGAGACUGCGCCACUACAGUCCAGUCUGGGUAACAGAGUGAGACUCUGUCUC